AUUGAACGCUGGCGGCAUGCCUUACACAUGCAAGUCGAACGGUAACGGGCCUUCGGGUGCCGACGAGUGGCGAACGGGUGAGUAAUACAUCGGAACGUGCCCGAUCGUGGGGGAUAACGAGGCGAAAGCUUUGCUAAUACCGCAUACGAUCUACGGAUGAAAGCAGGGGACCGCAAGGCCUUGCGCGGACGGAGCAGCCGAUGGCAGAUUAGGUAGUUGGUGGGAUAAAAGCUUACCAAGCCGACGAUCUGUAGCUGGUCUGAGAGGAUGAUCAGCCACACUGGGACUGAGACACGGCCCAGACUCCUACGGGAGGCAGCAGUGGGGAAUUUUGGACAAUGGGCGCAAGCCUGAUCCAGCCAUGCCGCGUGCAGGAUGAAGGCCUUCGGGUUGUAAACUGCUUUUGUACGGAACGAAAAGCCUUCUUUUAAUACAGGAGGGUCAUGACGGUACCGUAAGAAUAAGCACCGGCUAACUACGUG
This 482-nucleotide ribosomal RNA is filed under the name uncultured bacterium. RNAcentral's name for it is "partial 16S ribosomal RNA". It matches the Rfam family "Bacterial small subunit ribosomal RNA", at positions 30 to 507 of the family's 1533-position model. The record is from RNAcentral.